Molecule: ribosomal RNA, 465 nt
Filed under: Triticum aestivum (bread wheat)
Lineage: Eukaryota; Viridiplantae; Streptophyta; Magnoliopsida; Poales; Poaceae
Description: partial small subunit ribosomal RNA
Source: RNAcentral
GUGCAGGAUUCAAGCGGCAAGGACGUCGACCUCAGCGUCUAUAAGGGGAAGGUUCUUCUCAUUGUUAACGUCGCAUCCCAGUGUGGCCUAACUAACUCCAACUACACCGAGCUGAGCCAGCUGUACCCAAAGUACAAGGACCAAGGCUUUGAGAUCUUGGCUUUCCCAUGCAAUCAGUUUGGUGGGCAGGAGCCUGGCACCAAUGAUGAGAUAGUUCAGUUUGCCUGCACUCGCUUCAAGGCUGAGUACCCCAUUUUUGACAAGGUUGAUGUCAACGGCAACAAUGUUUCUCCCCUAUACAAGUUCCUGAAGUCUAGCAAAGGUGGCCUUUUCGGCGACAGCAUCAAGUGGAACUUCUCCAAGUUCUUGGUUGACAAGGAGGGUCACGUUGUGGACCGCUAUGCCCCGACCACUUCCCCCCUGAGCAUUGAGAAGGAUAUCAAGAAGCUGCUUGGGAGCUCUUAG